AUGGAGAUGCUUAGUAAUAAUGUUUUGCCAUGUUUAAUCUGUACUAGCAUGCCAUGCUUUUUCUUGCCAUGUUCUUGCACUAUAUCAUCUUUGUUUCAUGCCUUCAACAUGUCAACAUGUUAUUUCUGCUCAUGUGUGCCCUGUUUUUCACCAAGUCAUAAUCGUUGUUAUCAAGUUGCUUUUUGCAUUGAUCAUCUUGGAUUAAUCUUGAUGCCUAUGAACCUGAACCUUAAAUGUUAUUUGAAGCAUGUUAUCGGUACCUUAAGUGCAUGUCAAGUUUGCGCUCAUAUGAUUCCUGUAUCAUGUUGUUUCCUUGUUUGCAAAGUGCUUAAUUACUGUUUUAGGCAGUUUGUAUUUGAACCUUGUAUGGAGUGUAUGUGUUGA
Molecule: ribosomal RNA, 384 nt
Filed under: Triticum aestivum (bread wheat)
Lineage: Eukaryota; Viridiplantae; Streptophyta; Magnoliopsida; Poales; Poaceae
Description: partial small subunit ribosomal RNA
Source: RNAcentral